Molecule: long non-coding RNA, 244 nt
Filed under: Elaeis guineensis (African oil palm)
Lineage: Eukaryota; Viridiplantae; Streptophyta; Magnoliopsida; Arecales; Arecaceae
Description: long non-coding RNA (EGUI_LNC001080)
Source: RNAcentral
AGGACGACAACGUUUAUCAAGCAUAGGUCGUUGUGUGCCAUAUAGGUUGGUUGUCCUCUUAACCAAUGAGUGUGGAGACACUGGUAUGGCAUACAGGUGAGAUGUAAGGGUACAUCUGCACUGAACGUGACCGACUCUGAAGCUAUUUCUGCUGUCAAGAUUUGCUUCGAUGGAAUAUGAGUAUAAAUAUCCCUCCAACCUGAGACCGCCACGAUGACUUGCAAGCAACUGACUGUACUUAGGC